Molecule: non-coding RNA, 202 nt
Filed under: Thauera sp. 27
Lineage: Bacteria; Pseudomonadati; Pseudomonadota; Betaproteobacteria; Rhodocyclales; Zoogloeaceae
Also listed under: 1 other name
Source: RNAcentral
AGAGUCCCCGACGCUUAUGGUUCCCCCGCAAGGGGGAUUAAAAGGGAAUCCGGUGCCGCGCCCCGCGCGCUCAACCCGGAGCUGCCCCCGCAACUGUAAUCGGCGAGUCCUGCGCCCUCUCUGCCACUGGAAUCUUUCCGGGAAGGCUGGCGCAAGGCGAUGACCCGUGAGCCAGGAGACCUGCCAUGCACAUCACCUUCAA